This 253-nucleotide ribosomal RNA is filed under the name uncultured bacterium. RNAcentral describes it as "partial 16S ribosomal RNA". It matches the Rfam family "Bacterial small subunit ribosomal RNA", at positions 524 to 776 of the family's 1533-position model. The record is from RNAcentral.
UACCGAGGGGGCAAGCGUUGUUCGGAAUUACUGGGCGUAAAGGGCGCGUAGGCGGCCCUCUAAGUCGAACGUGAAAUCCCCGGGCUCAACCCGGGAACUGCGUCCGAGACUGAAAGGCUCGAAUCCGGGAGAGGGAUGUGGAAUUCCAGGUGUAGCGGUGAAAUGCGUAGAUAUCUGGAGGAACAUCGGUGGCGAAGGCGGCAUCCUGGACCGGUAUUGACGCUGAGGCGCGAAAGCCAGGGGAGCAAACGGG